GAGAAGAUGUUGAGGCAUUUUCUGGAGAUGGGGUUCAAAUGGAGAAAGGGAGAUGUUGCGGCAUUUUCUGGAGAACGGGGUUCACAUUGGCGAUCGCGAGUUAUCAUCAGGCGACUGGGGUUCAAAUCGGAGAACGGGGUUCGUUAUUUUGGCAAACAGGAGGACGGGGUUCAAAUGCAGUGAUUUGAGGGUCAUUUGCAGAGAAGAAAAUUUGCGGGGUUCAAGAAAAUGAAAAAAUAUAAAAAAAAAUAAAAAAAAAGAAA
This 263-nucleotide long non-coding RNA is filed under the name Lathyrus oleraceus (garden pea). RNAcentral describes it as "Pisum sativum (pea) long non-coding RNA (PSAT_LNC015374)". The record is from RNAcentral. Lineage: Eukaryota; Viridiplantae; Streptophyta; Magnoliopsida; Fabales; Fabaceae.